Long non-coding RNA from Neopsephotus bourkii (Bourke's parrot), 381 nucleotides. RefSeq lists it as uncharacterized. The transcript has 3 exons. Lineage: Eukaryota; Metazoa; Chordata; Aves; Psittaciformes; Psittacidae. The record is from RefSeq and is a predicted model, not a curated record.
GUUCUGUGGUAGGAGAGCUGUUUCCAGGAAAGAAGAAGAGGAGAAGGAGGAAGAUGUUUGGUUUGCUGAGCAGCCCAUUCUUCCCCAUGGUGCAGAGCAGGUUGUGGUACUAUCAUGUUGAAAUGGAGCAAGACACCAGGAAUCCUUGUCUGCAAUCUUAAGCAAUUUUGAAACCAUUGUCACCAAAGGUAAAUAAUCUCAAGAAAGACACCUGUUACUUACUAUGUCCCUGUUCUGCCUUUUCAAGGACUGUAACACAAUGUUCAGCUCUUAAAGCCAAACCAAAACAAUAAAUUUAACUUCAACCUUUGACUUCCAGUAAGAGGCAUGUGUUAAAAGAAAAAAGCUGAGGAAACAGUUCUUUGUAACAGUGGUAUUGUG